GUCUAUGGCCAUACCACCCUGAAUGCACAUGAUCUCUUCUAAUCUCAGAAGCUAAGCAGAGACAGGCCUGGUGAAUCAGAGUUGGGCCUGAUUAUACUUGGAUGGGAGAAAUG
This 113-nucleotide ribosomal RNA is filed under the name Microcebus murinus (gray mouse lemur). Lineage: Eukaryota; Metazoa; Chordata; Mammalia; Primates; Cheirogaleidae. The record is from RNAcentral.